AUGCCUUUAGCGAUUUAAAUCGACCGUCAAAACACCGACCACGGCUUCAGAGAAACAAUUUCGUUAUUAAAUUGUACACGUAUGUAGAGCAGAUAGUAGGUGCCUUUAGCGAUUUUAAUAGAUUAUGAAAACUGCGAAACUCUUAAUAUUUCAUGGAAAAAAUAAAUUUUGUUAAGAAAGGCAUUUUGUAGUUUUAUGGGCUUUUAGUCGUUACUGGCAAAGGGUAAGAACUCCGCCACGUGCAGUUACAAAAGGCGCAGGUAUUAAGGAAAAAAUAUGUCCAUAUUUUUUGCAUUAUAAGUGCAUUCCGGGAAAAUAGUUGCCGACUUAUUCGGUGUUGUUUUAGAGCGUCAUACACAUUUUUUAGAUUUUGCCCGAAAGGUGAGGAGUAAACUUAUAAUAUAUAAAGAUUCCUCAGCUAUUGCAGAGAUCAGCUGUUCUAGUUAUCUCUUGUUAAAACCAGUGACCAGUGAAGAUGUCGACGAAAUUACUGUUUUUGGGCGAUAGUAAUUUUUGCCGAAUGCUACGUACUAGAACUAACUACAAAGACGACAACCAAAACAGUCAAGCAACGGAAAAUAUUUCCUCGACUUAGCAGUAGGCGGUCAAACAAUACUAAAACUUUUGCGGCGCGCAAAGUGUAUUCCAAAAACAUGUUACCCUUGGUUUUGUGGAGAUAUUGUUGAACGUCAUAUCGUUAUAAUGAUAAGAACUAAAGAUAUACUCCAUAAAACAUCACCAUCCCAACUGAAGUCCCAAUAUUCUCACCUCUUCCGCUUCCUUCUUUCCUUAAAUCCUAAAGGAAUACAAAUUUGCACAAUUCCUCCCUGCAAAAACUUCGAGUCUGUGAACGAAAUCAAUCAUUACAUUCGACGGUUUUGUGCUGAAAAGCAAAUCAAUUGUACCGACAUUGAAGCAAUUGUUAACAGAACCAUGAUGGAAGGGUAACAAAACGUAAAAAUGUUUCUUUUCUUAUGUAUUUAAUACAAAUUUCUACACAGGGAUGGCAUUUACUUAAAUGAACAAGGGUUGGAAACGGUCUGGAACGCGGUAGCAAGUAAUUAUAAUCAUAUUCUCAAUCCAUUACACAAUUUAAUUAUAAGUAAAACAGACCAUUAAUAUAAUAAAUUUCUUUCUCUAUCAAAAGUUUUUUUUCUAUCAAAAGUCCGCCCUCCAAAUCAUCCUAAAAUUUCAUCAAUUUUGGAGGUGCCCAACGGGGUCAAAUUCACCCCCAAAGUCCGCGCCGCGAUCUGUACCUAUAGUGUCUAAUAACAAAUUUUUUUUUUCGGAAACCGUUAUACCUUACGGUGUUUGGAUGGUUGAUUUCAAUUGCUAAAGGCAUCCUCUAAAUCAUCCAAAAAUUUCAUCAAUUUUGGAGGUGCCCA
Onthophagus taurus is the source of this 1385-nucleotide non-coding RNA. Lineage: Eukaryota; Metazoa; Arthropoda; Insecta; Coleoptera; Scarabaeidae. The record is from RefSeq and is a predicted model, not a curated record.